RNAcentral lists this long non-coding RNA (291 nucleotides) under Brassica napus (rape). RNAcentral's name for it is "long non-coding RNA (BNAP_LNC010076)". Lineage: Eukaryota; Viridiplantae; Streptophyta; Magnoliopsida; Brassicales; Brassicaceae. The record is from RNAcentral.
CUGGUCAUGUGGAAUUGAAUCUAAAGUAUUACUACAACCACUGUUAACUUGACAGUACUAAUGAUUUAUUUUUAGUGUAUCAUGCAUACAAAUAUAUUGAAUAAGAAUUAGAUAAAAUGUAUUUCUAUAGUUAUAAGUUAACUGAGUCAUGAUAACAAUUUAUUUAGUUACCUACAAGUGCUUCAUGAACAUUUUUUGGAAGCAGCUCCACCAAUGCAAAUGGUAGUAGUCAUUCCAUAAACACAUGACAAUCAUGACUCUUCAUUUAUGAAAUUUUUUGCCCAUGCUCAA